Molecule: ribosomal RNA, 509 nt
Filed under: uncultured bacterium
Lineage: Bacteria
Description: bacterial SSU rRNA
Rfam family: Bacterial small subunit ribosomal RNA
Source: RNAcentral
GAUGAACGCUAGCGGCAGGCUUAAUACAUGCAAGUCGUGGGGCAAGCUUUGGUAGUAAUACUGAAGCCUAGACCGGCAAACGGGUGCGGAACACGUACACAACCUUCCUCUUAGUGGAGCAUAGCCCAGGGAAACUUGGAUUAAUACUCCGUAACAUAUUGAAAAGGCAUCUUUUUGAUAUUAUAGCAGCAAUGCGCUAAAAGACGGGUGUGCGUAUGAUUAGGUAGUUGGCGGGGUAACGGCCCACCAAGCCUACGAUCAUUAACUGGUGUGAGAGCACGACCAGUCACACGGGCACUGAGACACGGGCCCGACUCCUACGGGAGGCAGCAGUAAGGAAUAUUGGUCAAUGGACGAAAGUCUGAACCAGCCAUGCCGCGUGGAGGAUGAAGGUCCUCUGGAUUGUAAACUUCUUUUAUAUGGGGCGAAAAAAGGGUUUUCUAACUCGACUGACGGUACCAUAUGAAUAAGCACCGGCUAACUCCGUGCCAGCAGCCGCGGUAAUCACG